AACGAACGCUGGCGGCGUGUUUAAGACAUGCAAGUCGCACGGGAUAAGACAUGUAGUAAUACUUGUUUUAUUUAGUGGCGCACGGGUGAGUAACACGUGAAUUACAUGCCCUAUAGUGGGGAAUAGCCCAGGGAAACUUGGCUUAAUACCCCAUUGUAUCGAAAGAUUAAAGAUGGCCGCAAGGCUGUCGGUAUAGGAUUGGUUCGCGCCCUAUCAGCUUGUGGGUGAGGUAACGGCUCACCAAGGAAAUGACGGGUACCUGGGAUGAGAGGGAGAUCAGGCACACGGGAACUGAGAAACGGUACAGACACCUACGGGUGGCAGCAGUCGAGAAUAUUUCACAAUGGGGGCCACCCUGAUGGUGCAACGCCGCGUGGAGGAUGACGGUCUUCGGAUUGUAAACUCCUGUCAUCUGGGAGAAAGACCUGACGGUAAAUAGCCGGCAGGGUUGAUAGUACCAGAAGAGGAAGGGACGGCUAACUUCGUGCCAGCAGCCGCAGUAA
RNAcentral lists this ribosomal RNA (503 nucleotides) under uncultured bacterium. RNAcentral's name for it is "partial 16S ribosomal RNA". It matches the Rfam family "Bacterial small subunit ribosomal RNA", at positions 29 to 523 of the family's 1533-position model. The record is from RNAcentral.